AUUGAACGCUGGCGGCAGGCCUAACACAUGCAAGUCGAGCGGAUGAGGGGAGCUUGCUCCUGGAUUCAGCGGCGGACGGGUGAGUAAUGCCUAGGAAUCUGCCUGGUAGUGGGGGAUAACGUCCGGAAACGGGCGCUAAUACCGCAUACGUCCUGAGGGAGAAAGUGGGGGAUCUUCGGACCUCACGCUAUCAGAUGAGCCUAGGUCGGAUUAGCUAGUUGGUGGGGUAAAGGCCUACCAAGGCGACGAUCCGUAACUGGUCUGAGAGGAUGAUCAGUCACACUGGAACUGAGACACGGUCCAGACUCCUACGGGAGGCAGCAGUGGGGAAUAUGGGACAAUGGGCGAAAGCCUGAUCCAGCCAUGCCGCGUGUGUGAAGAAGGUCUUCGGAUUGUAAAGCACUUUAAGUUGGGAGGAAGGGCAGUAAGUUAAUACCUUGCUGUUUUGACGUUACCAACAGAAUAAGCACCGGCUAACUUCGUG
Molecule: ribosomal RNA, 484 nt
Filed under: uncultured bacterium
Lineage: Bacteria
Description: partial 16S ribosomal RNA
Rfam family: Bacterial small subunit ribosomal RNA
Source: RNAcentral